UACAGAGGAUGCAAGCGUUAUCCGGGAUGAUUGGGCGCAAGGCGUCUGUAGGUGGCUUUUUAAGUCCGCCGUCAAAUCCCAGGGCUCAACUCUGGACAGGCGGUGGAAACUACCAAGCUGGAGUACGGUAGGGGCAGAGGGAAUUUCCGGUGGAGCGGUGAAAUACGUAGAGAUUGGGAAGAACACCAGUGGCGAAGGCGGCUAUCUGGACGGUUUCUGACGCUAAGACGCGAAAGCGUGGGGAGCAAACAGG
This 253-nucleotide ribosomal RNA is filed under the name uncultured bacterium. Its description in RNAcentral is "partial 16S ribosomal RNA". It matches the Rfam family "Bacterial small subunit ribosomal RNA", at positions 524 to 776 of the family's 1533-position model. The record is from RNAcentral.